RNA transcript from Nymphaea colorata (pocket water lily), 2621 nucleotides. It is a transcript of the gene named probable anion transporter 3, chloroplastic, with no coding region annotated. The transcript has 9 exons. NCBI's taxonomy places the organism in Eukaryota, Viridiplantae, Streptophyta, Magnoliopsida, Nymphaeales, Nymphaeaceae. The record is from RefSeq and is a predicted model, not a curated record.
AUAUGGUGUGGUACACUUGCCAUCUCUUAUUUGGUGAGCAAUGAGAGUAACCUGUGUUUCAAGAAAGAAAUUGAAAAAGAUCGAACCCCAAAAGGGAUCCGAGAUCCAUAUCCAUUUACUUUCUGGUACGCCCAAAAGGGAUCCGAGAUCCAUAUCCAUUUACUUUCUGGUACGCCCAAAAGGGAUCCGAGAUCCAUAUCCAUUUACUUUCUGGUACGCCCAAAAGGGCAGCUCGGUGGUUGGUUCCAUAAAGAGCAGCAGACUCAGGUGCUUCUCCAUCGCCGUCUGCCAGAAUGAGUUUCCGAGUCGUCCUCGCCGAUACGAUCUCCCGUCCUGCCGCUUCUCGAACCCCUCCCACCCCUAGACCCCAGAGGCGUCGACCGUCGUCGUCCCUGCCUCUACCCUCGAGUACCAGGAGAAAGCGGGAGCUCGGAGUGCUUCGCUCUUGCUGUCAUUCCUACCGCAGUAUCCCUCCUAUCGGAAAGAGUCCGGGCCGAGUCGCUCCCCUCUUCGUCUCGAAGGGAGAUGGAUCGGUUUCCGACUCGUCGUCGUUCCCGUCCUCUGACGACGGGGAUGCUGUGGAGUUCAUCACCUCCGAGCGGGUGAAGAUUGUGGCGAUGCUCGCCUCCGCACUCGCGCUCUGCAACGCCGACCGGGUCGUUAUGUCCGUUGCUGUCCUUCCCAUGUCAUCGGCGUACGGUUGGUCCCGCUCCUUCUCCGGCAUCGUUCAGUCAUCUUUCCUCUGGGGCUAUAUGGUAACGCCUAUAGUUGGGGGUGCAUUAGUCGAUCAGUAUGGCAGUAAAAUAGUUCUUGGAUGUGGUGUCGCUCUAUGGUCAGUAUCUACUUUUCUUACCCCAUGGGCAGCAGAAAGUUCGUUGUUGGCAUUACUUGCAAUGCGGGUUUUGCUUGGUAUGGCAGAAGGCGUGGCUCUUCCUAGCAUGAAUAAGAUGAUCUUAAGAUGGUUUCCCAAAACAGAAAGGUCGAGGGCUGUAGCACUUGCAAUGGGUGGAUUUCAUCUUGGCAGUGCAAUUGGACUUAUCAUUUCUCCUAUUAUCAUGUCUCAGACUGGAGUUUUUGGACCAUUUGUAAUGUUUGGACUAUUUGGUUUCCUUUGGGUUUUGGUGUGGCUCUCUGCAUCAUCAGAUUCUCCUGAUCAGCAUCCUCAGAUAUCAAAGUAUGAGUUAGAACACAUCAAAGAUAGAACCCCACCACUUCCCGUGAAGGAUACGUCACCCAUGAGACGUAGGGGAAUUCCCCCAUUCCGCCUCUUGCUCUCUAAGUUACCAACAUGGGCAAUUAUCAUUUCAAAUGCUAUGCAUAACUGGGGGUAUUUUGUUAUUCUUUCAUGGAUGCCCAUUUAUUUUAACACGAUUUAUCAAGUGGACCUUCGACGUGCAGCAUGGUUCAGUGCAUUACCAUGGGCUAUGAUGGCAACUUUAGGAUAUGUUGCUGGUGCUAUCUCGGACAUGCUGAUCCGCUGCGGCACAAGUGUUACAGUUACUCGUAAAAUCAUGCAGUCGAUUGGUUUCAUUGGCCCAGGGUUAUGUCUUCUUGGACUGAAUGCAACAAGAAGUCCUUUUCUUGCAUCUGCUUGGCUCACGGCAGCUGUGGGCCUAAACUCCUUCAGUCAUGCUGGUUUUCUAGUCAACCUACAGGAGAUCGCUCCCCAGUAUGCUGGUGUGCUUCACGGAAUGUCCAACACUGCCGGAACAUUGGCAGCUAUUAUAGGAACCAUUGGAGCAGGAUAUUUUGUGGAGUUGAUGGGUUCUUUCCGUGGUUUUCUAUCCUUCACAGCGGUCCUUUAUUUUGUCAGUGCCCUUUUUUGGAACAUCUUUUCUACUGGAGAGCAAGUAAUCUUCAAUGAAAGCGAUCAGUAGCCUUCUCCCGCAAAACUACAGAGCACAGUGAAAGUCAUACAUGGAAACUCAUGCCCAUCUUCUGCACAAAGGUGUACAGAUUUGUUAUUCUAAUUUUGUCAAUUCCUCAUGCUCACAUGAAAAUUUUCUUGUUAACCCCACUGGUGAACGGUGUCCAAUUUGGGGAUACAGUUGCAUGGUCUGGAGAUUCCAUUUCCUUCUGAUAUUCAAGUCCAGUAUUGGAGGAUGCUAUUUGGGGAUAUGCCGAUGUGUUUGUCCUGCAAAUCAACUGAAUCUCUAUGCAUAACUGAAUGAUAGAUUUGAAAAGAUGUUAUCGCUCUGGUUGUUUCUUUAGACACUUGUCUGAUCCUGCUUAUUCUUCUGACUGCUGCUAGCUGACACAGGCCCUAAGACGGUUUUCUUCUUCCUGCUGUUCAUGGGAAUGCGAUUGAUGUGCAUAAACGCAUUGGCUUUUCAUCAGAUUCAUUGCUAUCUGAAGUUGGCUGAUUUGGGCUAAACUUCCUUGUAGCUGGCAGUCUAAAAGGUGAUCUCAGUUGAUCAAUGGUGUAUGCCAUAGUUUUGACCUCGGCCAGACCAUUUGGAUGUAUUUCUGUCCAUGUCAAAAUCAAUUCUUGAGCAGUUUUGCCAAAUUUGGUGUACUUGUGCUAGCUUGGUGAAUGACUGUAUUCUGAUUUGAAGGUAAACAAUAGUGAAACCCGACAGAAUCUGGUGUGUGGUUUAAUCAGGUAUCAGCUUAGGUUCAUA